GGAAGGAAAGGAAAGAGAGAGACAGUGGAGAAGAGAGAGAGAGAAAUGGACAGUGGAGAAGAGAGAAAGAGAGAGAGACAGUGGAAAAGAGAGAGAGAAACAAAGACAGUGGAAAAUAGAGAGGGAGACAGAGGCGAUGGAGAGGAGAGAGAGAGAGAGAGACACACACAGACAGAAAGACAGACAUUGGAGAAGGUAGAGAGAUACAGAGUGAAGAAGAGAGAGAAAUGGACAGUGGAGAAGAGAGAGAGAGAGAGAAAUACACAGUGGAGAAGAGAGAGAGAAAUACACAAUGGAGAAGAGAGAGAUAGAGAAAUACACAAUAAAGAAGAGAAAGAUAGGGAAAUAGAAGGAAACGAGAGAGAGACAGAGAGAGAGAGAAAUAUUGGAGAAGUGAGAGAGAGAAAGAGACAUUGGAGAUGAGAGAGAGACACAUACAUUGGAAAAGAGAGAGAGAGAGAAAUACACAGUGGAUUAGAGAAAGAUAGAGAUAGUAGAAAAGACAGACAGAAAGAAAUAGACAAUGGAGAAGAGAGAGAGAGAAAAAUAGCAGAGAAGAGAGAGAGAGAGAGAGAGAGAGAGAGAGAGAGAGAGAGAAAAUAGACAGCAGAGAAGAGAGAGAGAGAGAGAAAUAGACGGCAGGGGAAGAGAGAGAGAGAAAGAGAGAGAGAGAGAGAAAUAGACAGUUGAGAAGAGAGAGAGAGAUAUAUAAAUAGACAGUUGGGAAGAGAAACACAGAAAUAGAAAGUGGAGAAGAGACAGAGAGAGAGAGAGAGAGAGAGAGAGAGAGAGAGAGAGAAAGGGAAAUAGACAAUGGAAAAGAGAGAGAGAGACACAGACAGUGGGCAAGACAGAGAGAGAAAGAGUGGACAAGAGAGAGAGAGAAAUAGUGCAGAAGAGAGAAAGAGAAAUACACAGUGGAGAAGACAGAGAGAGACACAGAGAGUGGAGAAGAGAGAGAGAGAAAUAGACAGUUGUGAAGCAAGAGAGGGAGAGAAAUAGACAGUGGAGAAGAAAGAGAGAGAGAAAUACACAGUGAAGAUAGAUAGAGAAAUACACAAAUAAGAAGAGAGAGAUACAUACAUUGGAGAUGAGAGAGAGAUACAUACAUUGGAGAAGAGAGAGAGAAAUACACAGUUGAGUAGAGAGAGAGAGACAGAGAUAGUAGAGAAGAGAGAGAAAUAGACAGUGGAGAAGAGAGAGGGAGAGAGAGAGAGAAAUAUACAGUUGAGAAGUGAGAGAGAAAGAAAUAGUUGAAAAAAGAGAGAAAUAGUGGAGAAGAGACACAGAUGGGGGAAUAGACAAUGGAAAACAGAUAGAGAGACACAGACAGUGGAUAAGAGAGAGAGAGACACUGACAGUGGAUAAGAGAAGAGAAACACAGACAGUGGAAAAGACAGAGAGAGACACAGACAGUGGGCAAGCAGAGAGAAAUAGUGGACAAGAGAGAAAGAGAAAUAGACAGUGGAGAAGGGACAGAGAGAAGUACACAAUGGAGAACACAGAGAGAGACAUAGAGAGUAGAGAAGAGAGAGAGAGAAAUAGACAGUUGUGAAGCGAGAGAGGGAGAGAAAUAGACAUUGGAGAAGAAAGAGAGAGAGAAAUACAAAGUGGAGAAGAGAGAUGGAGAAAUACACAAAUAAGAGCGAUAGGGAAAUAGACAGGAAAGAAGAGAGAGACAGAGAAAUAUUUGAAAAGUGAGAGAGAGAGAGAGAAAGAGACAUUGGAGAUGAGAGAGAGGUACAUACAUUGGAGAAGAGAGAGAGAGAAAUACACAGUGGUGUAGAGAGAGAGAGACAGAGACAGUAGAGAAGAGAGAGAGAGAGAGAGAAAUAGACAAUGGAGAAGAGAGAGAGAGAAAUAGACAGUUGAGAAGAGAGAGAGAGAGAAAUUGACAGAGGAGAAGAAGGAGAAAGACACAGACAGUGGAAAAAAGAGAGAAAUAAAGAGACAGUGGAGAAGAGAGAGAGAGAAUAAGAGACAGUGGAGAAGAAUGAGAGAGAGAGAGAGAGACAGAGACAUUGGAGAAGAGACAAGAGAAAAAUAAAUAGUGGAGAAGAGAGAGAGAAAUAAAUAGUGGAGAAGACAGAGAGAGACACAGACAGUUGAGAAGAGAAAGAGACACACAGACAGUGGGAAAGAGAGAGAGAGAGAGAAAUAGUCCGUGGAAGAGUGAGAAAGGGAGAAAUAGACAGUGGAGGAGAGAGACAGAGACAGAGAGAGAGAGAGAGAGAGAGAGUGAGUGUGUGUGUGUGUGUCAGUCACAGACAGUGGAAAAGACAGAGAGAGACACAGACAGUGGGCAAGAGAGAGAGAGAAAUAGUGGACAGCAGAGAGAGAGAAACGGACAGUGGAGAAGACAGAGAGAAAUAGACAGUGGAGAAGGGAGAGAGAGAAAUACACAGUGGAGAAGACAGAGAGAGACACAUAGUCGAGAAGAGAAAGAGAGACACAGACAGUGGGAAAGAGAGAGAAAAAAGACCGUGGAAAAGAGAGAGAGAGAAAAGACAGUGGAGGGAGAGAGGGGGGGGGAGAAAACAGAGAGAGACAGACAGUGGAGGAGAGAGAGAGAGAGAGAGUGUGUGAGAGAGUGGGUGUGUGUGUGUGUGUGUGUGUGUGUGUGUCAGUCACAGACAGUGGUAAAGAUAGAGAGAAACACAGAAAGUGGGAAAGACAAAGAGAGAGAAAUAGACAGUGGAGAAGAAAAAGAAAGAGAUAUACAGUGAAGAAGAGACAGAGAGAAAUAGACAGUGGAGAAGAGAGAGAGAAAUAGACAGUACAGAAGAAAGAGAAAUAAACAGUGGAGAAGGGAGAGAGAGAAAGAAAAAGUGGAGAAGAAAGAGAGAGAAAUAGACAGUCGAGAAGUCAGAGAGAAACACAGUUGAGAAGAGAGAGAGAGAGACAAAGACAGUGUAAAAGAUAGAGCGAGUCACACACAGUGGAAAAGAUAGAGAGACAUAUCGACAGUGGAAAAGACUGAGAGACAGAGACAGUGAGAGAGAGAAGUAGAUAGUGGAGAAAAGAGAGAAAAAGAAAUAGACAGUGGAGAAGAAAGGGAGAGAGAGCAAAAUAUUGGAGAAGAGAGGGAGAAAUAGAGAGUGGAAAAGAGAAACACAUACAGUGGAGAAGAGAUAGAGAGAGAGCUAGACAGCUGAGAAGACCGAGAGUCGCAGAAAGUGUAAAAGAGAGAGAGAGAGAGACAGAAAGGGGGAAAGACAGAGAGACACAGGCAGUGGACGAGAGAGAGAGAGAAACAGAGUGUAGAGAAGAGAGAGAAAGAAACAGUAGAGAAGAGAGAGAGAGAAACAGAGAGUAGAGAAGAGAGAGAGAGAGAAAUAGACACUGGAGAAGAGAAAGAAAAUUAGGGGAGAAGAGAGGGGAGAGAGAGAGGAAAAGUGAGAGAGAGAGACAGUGGAGAAGAGAGAGAGAAAUGGACAGUGGAGAAGAGAGAAAGAGAGAGAGACAGUGGAAAAGAGAGAGAGAAACAAAGACAGUGGGAAAUAGAGAGGGAGACAGGCGAUGGAGAGGAGAGAGAGAGAGAGAAAGACAGACACAGACAGAAAGACAGACAUUGGAGAAGGUAGAGAGAUACAGAGUGAAGAAGAGAGAGAGAAAUGGACAGUGGAGAAGAGAGAGAGAGAGAAAUAGACAGUGGAGAAGAGAGAGAAAGGAAUAGACAUUGGAGAAGAGAGAAAGAUACAGAAUGAAGAAGAAAGAGAGAGAGAAACAGGAAAUGACAGAGAGACACACACAGACAGUGAGAAAGAGAGAGAGAGACACAGGCAGUAAAGAACAAAUAGAGAGAAAAGAAUAGGAAAAAAGCAUAGAGGUGGAGAAGAGAGAGAGAGAGAGAA
Molecule: long non-coding RNA, 3854 nt
Filed under: Sarcophilus harrisii (Tasmanian devil)
Lineage: Eukaryota; Metazoa; Chordata; Mammalia; Dasyuromorphia; Dasyuridae
Description: lncRNA (ENSSHAG00000026821.1)
Source: RNAcentral